AGAGUUUGAUCCUGGCUCAGAGCGAACGCUGGCGGCGUGCUUAACACAUGCAAGUCGAGUGCGCGCCUGUAGCAAUACAGGUGGCGCACGGCGCACGGGUGCGUAACACGUGGGUAAUCUGCCCUUCGAUGGGGAAUAACUCGCCGAAAGGCGAGCUAAUUCCGCAUAACAUUCCGAGAACUUUGGUUUUUGGACUCAAAGGCGUAAGUCGUCGGAGGAGGAGCCCGCGCACGAUUAGCUAGUUGGUGAGGUAAUGGCUCACCAAGGCUAUGAUCGUUAGCUGGUCUGAGAGGAUGGCCAGCCACACUGGAACUGAGACACGGUCCAGACUCCUACGGGAGGCAGCAGUGGGGAAUCUUGCACAAUGGGCGAAAGCCUGAUGCAGCGACGCCGCGUGGGGGAGGAAGCUUUUCGGAGUG
RNAcentral lists this ribosomal RNA (419 nucleotides) under uncultured bacterium. RNAcentral describes it as "bacterial SSU rRNA". It matches the Rfam family "Bacterial small subunit ribosomal RNA", at positions 8 to 425 of the family's 1533-position model. The record is from RNAcentral.